AAAAUCAAAAAAUUUUUUUCUUAUCGCAUGAAAAUAUUAUUGUCGUAAUCUUAAACCAAAAAAAGUGGAUCGGUAUCUGUGAAAAUAAGAAAACGAUUAUUUGAUGAUUUUGCUCUAAGUAAUUCUGUCAUGGAACAUGAAAUAUUUAUAACCAAGCACACUGUACAAGAAAAAACAUUUUAUUUAAAAGUACUUUGGAGAUGGAAUCCUGAAGAACUAUUUUAUAUUUAUAUCAAUAAAGACAAUUCAAGUUGGUCUGGUGAAUAUUCCAUUCAAUCAGCAAAUAAAUAUAGAGAAGAGUAUACUGAUGAUUCUGAGGAAGAAUUUAUCGAAAAUGUUAAAAGAGCAUUUAGACAAAAUAACAGUGACUUUGACUACGACUUUAGUUCACUUAAAGAUAAAUCAUCUUCAAAAUUUACAUGGAAAAAAAGAUUUGAAGGAAAAAAAGUUAUACAAGGUACAGUAAAUGUAGUUUGGGAUGAUGUACCCACAACCAGGGAGACUUUAAUUGAUAAUUUGUUACAAGAAAACGAACAAUUAAAAACAACCAUUAGAAAUAAUAAAGUAAAAACUAAAGCUCAAGAAGAAGAAUUAGAAAAGUGUAAAAACACUAUAGAGAAAUUUGUAGACAUCAAGACAACAGUUGAAGAAACAUUAUAUGCAAAGUUUGUCCAAAUUUUGAAUGAAAAGAAGAAAAGAAUAAAAUUGUUACAAGAAUCUUUGCAAAAAUUGGGAGUAUCAAAUGUUUAUAAUUCAGAAAGUGAAUAAUUUAAUUUUUCACAUUGAAAAACUAUGAUCAUAUUUUUAUAAUCUUAAUUAAAAAAGAACUCUUAAAUAUUUUGAAAAUCAGAAAGUUUUAUAUUCGACAUCUUUCAAUAUAUCAUAAGUGUUUUUAAUUUAAUUACAUAUUAUACAUAUAUGAAGAACUGAAAUAUGCAAUUAUCAUGAAAACUAUUACAUAAAGUAAACUUUAUAGAUAUUAAAUAAUAUUAAAAUAGUGCUCUACACAGCAGCUGUGCCGUAUGAUUUUUUCUUUGUAGCUUAGUAAUGCACCUGUUUCUUUUAGUGCAAGUCUUAAUUAUUACAUGAUUAAAAAUAUUUUGUAUUCUUUCUGUUAUAAUAUUUAGAAAAGAGUUAACAUGAGUUUUUCAUACAUCCUUUCUAGUGAUGAAACACUAUAAAAAAUUAGGGUAGUUGUGAUAUUAUACAAUUGAACUUUAA
Bombyx mori (domestic silkworm) is the source of this 1221-nucleotide RNA transcript. RefSeq lists it as uncharacterized. The record is from RefSeq and is a predicted model, not a curated record. NCBI's taxonomy places the organism in Eukaryota, Metazoa, Arthropoda, Insecta, Lepidoptera, Bombycidae. The transcript has 2 exons.